AAGUAUAACGCAGACAAGGCCAUCGUGGACAGUGGCACCACGCUGCUGCGCCUGCCCCAGAAGGUGUUUGAUGCGGUGGUGGAAGCUGUGGCCCGCGCAUCUCUGAAUUGCAGGUGCUGCAGUGUCUGAAAUUUCCGGGCCUUUCUCAACAGAGGAUGUAGCCAGCAACUGUGUCCCCGCUCAGUCUUUGAGCGAGCCCAUUUUGUGGAUUGUGUCCUAUGCGCUCAUGAGCGUCUGUGGAGCCAUCCUCCUUGUCUUAAUCGUCCUGCUGC
RNAcentral lists this long non-coding RNA (272 nucleotides) under Homo sapiens (human). RNAcentral's name for it is "HSALNT0273853". The record is from RNAcentral. Lineage: Eukaryota; Metazoa; Chordata; Mammalia; Primates; Hominidae.